GUCGAAACCUGCACAGCAGAACGACCAGCGAACAUGUUUUCAUGGGCACACUAACAAACCCCGGCGCGGACUGCGCCAAGGAACAAUAACUCCAACGCCUCGACCGCGCCCGGUAACCCGUGGAGGGUGCCAUCCGUAACAAUAAACGACUCUCGGCAACGGAUAUCUCGGCUCUCGCAUCGAUGAAGAACGUAGCGAAAUGCGAUACUUGGUGUGAAUUGCAGAAUCCCGUGAACCAUCGAGUCUUUGAACGCAAGUUGCGCCCGAAGCCUCCGGCURAGGGCACGUCUGCCUGGGCGUCACGCAUCGCGUCUCCCCUCACCCACCGCGGGGGGGAAGGACGAUGGCCUCCCGUGCCUCACCGGGCGCGGCUGGCCUAAAAACGGAGCCCCCGGCGACGAGCUGCCGCGGCAUUUGGUGGUUCGUCGCGCCCCUCUUAGCCCCUGAAGCUCGAGCGACCCACGCCGUUGCGACCCCAGGUCAGGCGGGGCUA
Molecule: ribosomal RNA, 493 nt
Filed under: Paronychia jamesii
Lineage: Eukaryota; Viridiplantae; Streptophyta; Magnoliopsida; Caryophyllales; Caryophyllaceae
Description: eukaryotic LSU rRNA
Rfam family: 5.8S ribosomal RNA (bases 148-302)
Source: RNAcentral